Long non-coding RNA from Daucus carota subsp. sativus, 5946 nucleotides. RefSeq lists it as uncharacterized. The record is from RefSeq and is a predicted model, not a curated record. The transcript is spliced from 5 exons. NCBI's taxonomy places the organism in Eukaryota, Viridiplantae, Streptophyta, Magnoliopsida, Apiales, Apiaceae.
UCCCAAAUUCGCUUCUUCACUCUCUGGUCUCCACACUUCAGAAAUCAGGAAUGUCUCUUACUUACUUUUAUUCAUAGUCUAGUUUCGAUUUGUGACAGUAUGUGGUUAAAUAUAGUUUCAUUUUUUUUGAUCUUUUUUCUAGGGUUUAUUACUUUAAUCGUACAAUCCAAUGUUUGUCGCUAAACCAAUUAUUGUGUUAUAGUGUUAUUGUUUUUCUUUGCGUAAUGUUUGAGUGUCUUGAUCUCAUCAGAUUUUUUUUGGAAUUGCUAUCUAUUUGUUUACCUGUUCAAUUGCUAUGAAUUGGUUUGUAGAGUGUUUAUUUUGUUGUUUUCCAGGGUUUAGUGCUUUGAUAAUGUGUUCUAUGUUGUCUUUCGGAUAUCGACUGCUGUGUGAUUUUUGUUUCUGUGGUGUCUAAUUGUUGUUCGCUAAUUGUACUGAUAAGAUUUUUGUUAAAAACGCUUAGUGGCAAGACUAUUACGCUCGAGGUCGAAAGUUCUGAUUAAAUGGAUAAUGCUAAGGCAAAGAGCCAGGAGGAGGGGAUCCCUCUGGAUCAGCAGAGGUUGAUUUUUGCUGGGGAAACAGCUUGAGGAUGGAUGAACCUUGGCUGAUUAUAAUAUGCAGAAGGAAUCGACUUCGUUAAGACUCUGACAGGAAAGACUAUUACUCUUGAGGUUGAGAGCUCAGACUUAAUUGAUAAUUUUAAGGAUAAGGAAGGAUUCCCCCGGACCAGCAGAGGCUGAUAUUUGCUGGUAAACAACUUGAGGAUGGUCGUAGACUAGUGGAGUAAAACAUCAUAAAGGAGUCAACACUUCACUUGGUUCUUUAUCUUCGAGGUGGAAUGCGAAUUUUUGUAAAGACACUUACUGGGAAGACGAUCACACUUGAGGUUUAGAGCUCAGAAACCAUUAAUAAUGUGAAGUCAAAGAGUCAGGAUAAGGAGGAGAUCCCUCCAGAUCAGCAGAGUUUUGCUGGGAAGCAGUUGAAGCAUGGAAGAAGAAGAAUUUUGGCAGACUAUAAUAUCCUGAAGGAUUAUACUCUUCACCUUGUCCUCUGUCUCGGUGGUGGUUAUCAAGUCUGAGUUCAGUGUCUUGAUGUCUGGUCUGUGUUAACAACUGUUCUAUCUUUCUGUUGUUCCUUCCUUUUGUCAAGUGAGCUAAUAUUUGCAUGACAAUGAUUAUAUUUGGUAUUGAUGACUGCUACAACACUUUAAGUGUUAAAUCUAUAUUCAGUUUAUUUUGUUCUCUCACUUUUCAGUUAGUAGUGCUCAUAAUGUGCUUGACGAGCAGCAAGGAUCUGUUGAUCCUCUGGUCUAUUACAAUUUCUUCAUUUUGUAGAAUGAGUUUUCAUUGAUCAGAACUCUUCUGUUCUCACAGUUAUACAAUCAGGGUACUGAAAUCUCCUAGAUUGUUUUAUUAUUCUUGUUACAUUAUCUCUAUUCUGCAUGAUAUGCUAGACAGUUGCCACACUUAUUCAAUUAGGGUACUGAGAUAUCCUAGAUUGUUGCAUUAUCCUUGUCACAUUAUUUUUGUUCUGUAUGAUAUGUUAAACAGAGCUAAAAAGCUCUCGUCGGAUGACGGCAGGAUUGAACUUGUGAUGUUUAUGAUCCAAGAAGAGUACUAGUAUCAUUCCACAAGACUAUCAACUUGGAAACCAAAUUUCUUGUAAAGAUUCAAGGCAGCAGUUCUUGACGGGUCUACAUGAAGUGAUAUUCGGCGGACAUUUCUAGCUCUGCAUUUCUCUAUUGCUGCAUGUAGCAGUGCCUCUCCUUGGCCUUGUCUCCUGUACUUUUCUUUUACCGAUUUAUGAUUUACAAGCAAUAAAAUAAGAUCGUUACCUAAUAAUUCAAUCCACAAGAAUAGCGCAUCCAGAACACUAUGACUCAUCUAUAUGACUUCCUAAUGUGCUUUUAGCAGUUAAGAAGUUGUUUAGGUCAUCUAUAUAUAUGACUUCCUAAUGCGCUUCUAGUAGUUAAGAAGUUGUUUAGGUUCCGCCAUAAUGUGCAGGGAUGGACCAACGGUACAAUUACCUGUUAGUCUGUAACCACUUUCCUUACCUUGCCUACUUAUAUGCCUAACAUUGUGGUUCAACACAUUUACAAAGAAGAAAUUACAAGCCAGCCUAAAAAUUUUACCACUUGAAAUAGAAGAUAUAUGAAGUCUGUGUGCAUAUAUAAGCAUAUACAGAUGAGGUUAUUUUCUAGAUAACUUGAAUGUUCUGUGACAAAUAGUGUUGGGUUGAUUUACACAAUCUAGCUUCCAAAUAAAAAAGAAAGGGCCUUGCUAUCUUGCCUAUCUACUUAAACACACAGAGCUCUAAUAACCACCAACAAGAAUGUUUUAUGAGGUGCUGAUACCCGCAUAGGAGAAAUAUCGAAAGGUUAAAUUGUAAGGUAUGUACUUGAGACCGGCUUGCAUAAGCAUGUUAAUUUUAAAUGCGUAAGCAAAUUUUUGUACCAUUGAUAAUGUGAUGGCAAAGAGUCAGGAUAAGGAGGAGAUCCCUCCAGAUCAGCGAAGGCUUAUUUUUGCUGGGAAGCAGUUGGAGGAUGGAAGAACUUUGGCAGACUAUAAUAUCCAGAAGGACUCUACUCUUCACCUCGUCCCCUUCUUCGUGGUGGUUAUCAAAUUCGAAGUACAGAAGGCAUUUAGUUCUUUGUUUCAAAAGAUACAGAUGGGCAUAUAAUGUUCUGGGGAAGGAAACAUGCAUAUGAAUGAACAGCGAAAGAACAAGCAUAUUCUAACACAAGGAAUAGAAGAUGCAAAAUUUUGUUAAAAAGGCUUAGUGGCAAUGCUAUUACUCUCGAGGUCGAAAGUUCUGUACGACGGAUGAUGCUAAGUCUAUAGGAAAAGGAGCUGAUCUCUCAGUAUCAGCAGAGGUUGAUCUUUGCUGGGAAACAGCUGGAGGAUCGAUGAACCUUCGCUUGAUUAUGAUAUUUAGAAGGAAUCGACUCUACAUUUGGGUUCUUCGGCUUAGAAGAGGGAUGCAGAUCUUUGUUAAGACUCUGACAAGCAAGACUAUUACUCUCGAGGUUGAGAAAUCGGACAAUCAGACAUAAAUGAUAAUGUUAAGGAUAAUGAAAGGGAUCCCUGGACCAGCAGAGGCUGAUAUUUGCGGCUAAACAGCUUGAGGAUGGCCAUCUUCUUUGACUCGGUGGUGGAAUGCAAAUUUUUGUGAAAACCCUUACCGGUAAGACCAUUAUGUUGGAGGUUGAGAGCUCCGACACUAUCAAGUCAAGGCUAAGAUCCAAGAUAAGGAAGGUAUUCCCCUAGACCAGUAGAGAUUGAUAUUUGCAGGUAAGCAGCAUGAGGAUGGUCGUACACUAACGGAUUUCAACAUCCAAAAGGAGUCAACACUUCACUUGGUUCUUCAUCUUCGUGGUGGAAUGCAAAUUUUUGUAAAGACGAUUACACUUAAGGUUUAGAGCUCAGAUACCAUUGAUAAUGUGAAGGCAUAGAUUCAGGAGGAGGGGAUCCCUCCAGAUCAGCAGAGGCUUAUUUUUGCUGGGAAGCAGUUGGAGCAUGGAAGAAUUUUGGCAGGCUAUAAUAUCCCGAAGGUGUCUUCUCUUCACCUUGUCCUCUGUCUCUAUGGGGGUUAUCAAGUCUGAGUUCAGUGUCUUGAUGUCUGGUCUAUGUUAACAACUGUUCUAUCUUUAUGUUGUUGCUUCCUUUUGUUAAGUAGCUAAUAUUUGCAUGACAAUGAUUAUAUUUGGUAUUGAUGACUGCUACUACACUUUAAGUGUUAAAUCUAUAUUCAGUUACUUCUGUUCACUCACUUUUCAGCUGGCAGUGCACAUAAUGUGCUUGAAGAGCAGCAAGCAUCUGUUGAUCCUCUGGUUCGAUUGCAAUUUAUUCAUUUUGUAGAAUGAGUUUUCAUUGAUCAGAACUCUUCUGUUCUUACAGUUAUACAAUCAUGGUACUGAGAUCUCCUAGAUUGUUGUAUUAUUCUUGUUACAUCAUCUCUGUUCUGCAUGAUAUGCCACAGACAGUUGUCACAUUUAUUCAAUCAUGGUACUGAGAUCUCCUAGAUUGUUGUAUUAUUCUUGUCACAUUAUAUUUGUUCUGUAUGAUAUGCUAAACAGAGCUAAAAAGCUCUUAUUGUCCUGAUGACAGGAUUGAACUUGUCGCAUUUGUUGAUGUUUGUUGAUGUUUAUGAUCCAAGGUGUGUAUUGUUUACUAUUUUUUUGUUUAUUAUGUGUUUCUUCCCCAUUGAUGCAUCUUAUAUUUUUCUCAUGAUUAAUUUUGUUUUGCUAAAAAUUUAGUCUUACGAUUAUGUUCCACAAGAGUAGUGUCGUUCCACAAGACUAUCAACUUGGAAGCCAAAGUACUUGUGAAGAUUCAAGGCAGCAGUUCUUGACAGGUCUACUUGAAGUGAUAUUCAGUGGACAUCUCUAGCUAUGCAUUUCUCAAUUGCUGCACGUAGCAGUGCCUCUCCUUGGCCUUGUUUCCUGUACUUCUCUUAUACUGAUUUAUGAUUUACAAGCAAUAAAUUAAGAUCAUGACCUAAUAAUUUAAUCCACAAGAAUAGCGCCUCCAGAACACUGUGACUCAUCUCUGAAUUCCUAAUGCGCUUUUAGCAGUUAAGAGAGUUGUUUAGGUUCCGCCAUGAUGUGCAGGGAUGGACCAAUGGUACAAUUACCUGUUUGUCCGUAACCACCUUCCUUGCCUUGCCUACUUAUAUGCCUAACAUGUAGUCCAACACAUUCACAAAGAAGAAAUUACAAACCAGCCUAAAUAUUUUACCACUUGAAAUAGAAGAUCUAUGAAGUGUGUAUGCAUAUAUAAAAGCAUAUACAGAUUAGGUCAUUUUCUAGAUAAGGUGAAUGUUCUGUGGCAAAUAGUGUUGGUUUGAUUUACACAAUCUAGCUUCCAAAUAAAAAAGAAGUGGCCUUGCUAUCUUGCCUAUCUACUUAAACACACAGAGCAACUAAUAACCACCAACAAGAAUCUUUAUGAGGUGUUAAUACCCGCAUAGGAGAAAUAUCAAAGGGUAAAUUAUGAGGUAUGUACUUGAGACCGGCCUGCAUAAGCAUGUUAAAUUUUGAAUGCAUAAGCAAAUUUUUGUAAAGACACUUACUGGGAAGAUGAUCACACUUGAGGUAAAGAGCUCAGAUACCAUUGAUAUUGUGAAGGCAAAGAUUCAGGACAAGGAGGGGAUCUCCAAAUCAGCAAAGUCUCUCAAUAACUUAUAUUUUUGCUGGGAAGCAAUUAAUGGAUUGAAGAACUUUGGCAGACUAUAAUAUCCAGAAGGAGUCUACUCUUCACCUCGUCCCACGUCUCCGUGGCGGUUAUCAAGUUUGAGUUUAGUGCCUUGAUCUCUGGUCUGUUUUAACAACUGUUCAAUCUUUCUGUUGUUUUCUCCUUUCGAGUGAACUAAUAUAUGCAUGACAAUGAUUAUAUUUGGUUUUAAUGGAAUGUACUACAACUAUUUUAAGUGAUAAAUCUAUUCUCUGACUGUUUAAUUAGCAGUGCACAUAAUGUGUUAGACCACUAGCUUGAAAUACUGGCUGAUAUAUAUUAAAUAAGCAGCAACCAUUUGUUGUGAGUUUUUAUGAAUCUAAAUACUUCUGUUAUGUUCCUAUAGUUAAACAUUUAGGGUGCUGAUAUUUCUCACACCACUGUGUUAUUCUUAGUGCAUUAUCUUGGUUCUGCAUGACUGAACAUAGUUAAAAGCUUUUAUUUUUUGAUGGCAGGAUUGUACUUGUCAAACUUGCUGAUGGCUCUAAGGUCUAAUAUUUUCAUGAACAAAAUCAAACACUAAAAACUAUAUAAAUAUUGCUAUCAUAUGGAAUCAGCAUGCAAGCACGGGCUGUCAUGAUUUUAAAGUACAAAAGGGAUUUAGAUUCUUUCUUUCAAAGAUACAGAUAGUCAUAUAUUGUUCUGGGGAAGGAAACAUGCAUAGGAUGAUAUGAAUGAACAGCGAAAGAACAAGCAUGUUCCAACGCAAGGAAUA